AUGAUGGAGAUGCCGCAAGCGGAUGAGUCGGGCAAGGUGCCUGAGGAUACAGUCGACGUGCAGGACCAAGAACUCAAAGACAAGGACCCGCCACCGACCCCAGAGCGCGACCCCUACGCUCGCGAAUUCCUGGACCCCGUCAACUCCACCGCCGCACCCACCGUCAGGUUCGAGACUGCCAAACUGCCCGGAAUACGCGAGAGUGAUAAUGACACUCUUGAUAUACAAAGGGAUAAGAACGUGACCUUAUCGUCGAUAAAGGACAAGAUCCUAGCAUUUCUUUGGCAGUCUGGUCGAAAGCCAGGCAACUGGAGCGAUGCGAAGCCUCAGCACAAAGAGAUGCUGAAUAAUGUACUGAAGACGAUACCAGUUUCUGGUGUUGAGGAUGCCACCGAGAAAGUUCAGAGUUACUUCCCUUCGUGUAGCGUGCCAACUGACACGGAUGAAGAGUUAUGGAAUAAUGGAAAAAUGAUGAACCUGGUGUUCAAUGUGAGCUUUCCACCCCCUGCCCCUCCACCCAACGCCAUCAAUGGAACUGCCACUUUGGUCACGGGAGCCAAAUUGCGACUAUAUUUCAAGGCCAAUUCAUCGAUGACACUAUCAGAAAACUGCUCGCAAACGGCAAACGAUGACCAAAAAGCUAUCAAAUUUUGCAGUGUUCGAAUUGGUGAAACUGCAGCCGGGGCUUCCGAGGACAGACAGUUUCGGGUCUCUAUUCAUAGAUAUACGAAACCUCUGAAAAAACAAGAAAAAACGAAGAGGACAAUCAGUCUGUUGGACAGUCGGAUGGUGACGCUGGGAAGUGAAACUUGGGCUGAAUUUGACGUCAAAAAGGCCGCUAGAGCGUGGGGGAAGUCAAAAAAUUUCGGCCUCGCUGUUCAAGUUGAGGAUUUAGCAAAACCACCCUUCCGGCUGAUAGGUAUUUCGUCACGAUGAACUGCUCCAAAGAAGCAC
Molecule: long non-coding RNA, 954 nt
Filed under: Bemisia tabaci
Lineage: Eukaryota; Metazoa; Arthropoda; Insecta; Hemiptera; Aleyrodidae
Description: lncRNA ENSSSA2NGG013957
Source: RNAcentral